RNAcentral lists this ribosomal RNA (451 nucleotides) under Chloroflexi bacterium canine oral taxon 306. RNAcentral's name for it is "bacterial SSU rRNA". It matches the Rfam family "Bacterial small subunit ribosomal RNA", at positions 9 to 485 of the family's 1533-position model. The record is from RNAcentral. Lineage: Bacteria; Bacillati; Chloroflexota.
GAGUUUGAUCAUGGCUCAGGAUGAACGCUGGCGGCGUGCCUAAUACAUGCAAGUCGAACGGGUGCAGCGAUGUACUAGUGGCGAACGGGUGAGUAACACGUUGGUGACCUGCCCCAAAGAGGGGAAUACCACUUGGAAACGAGUGACAAAACCGCAUAAGCUGUCUCAGAUUAGAAGGGAGACAGUAAAAGAGAAAUCUACUUUGGGAGGGGCCUGCGGCCCAUCAGCUAGUUGGAGAGGUAACGGCUCACCAAGGCGAAGACGGGUAGGGGACCUGAGAGGGUGAUCCCCCACAAUGGAACUGAAACACGGUCCAUACACCUGCGGGUGGCAGCAGUAGGGAAUAUUGCUUAAUGGGCGAAAGCCUGAAGCAGCAACGCCGCGUGAACGAAGAAGGCCUUCGGGUCGUAAAGUUCUUUUACGUGGGAUGAGGAAGGACCGUACCACNGNA